AACGAACGCUGGCGGCAUGCCUAACACAUGCAAGUCGAACGAGACCUUCGGGUCUAGUGGCGCACGGGUGCGUAACGCGUGGGAACCUGCCCUUAGGUUCGGAAUAACCCCCCGAAAGGGGUGCUAAUACCGGAUAAUGUCUUCGAACCAAAGUUUUAUCUCCUUUGGAUGGGCCCGCGUUGGCUUAGCUAGUUGGUAGGGUAAAAGCCUACCAAGGCGACGAUCCUUAGCUGGUCUGGGAGGAUGAUCAGCAACACUGGGACUGAGACACGGCCCAGACUCCUACGGGAGGCAGCAGUGGGGAAUAUUGGACAAUGGGCGAAAGCCUGAUCCAUCAAUGCCGCGUGAGUGAUGAAGGCGUUAGGGUUGUAAAGCUCUUUUACCCGGGAUGAUAAUGACAGUACCGGGAGAAUAAGCUCCGGCUAACUCCGUG
Molecule: ribosomal RNA, 433 nt
Filed under: uncultured bacterium
Lineage: Bacteria
Description: partial 16S ribosomal RNA
Rfam family: Bacterial small subunit ribosomal RNA
Source: RNAcentral